GAUGAACGCUGGCGGCGUGCCUAAUACAUGCAAGUCGAGCGAACGGACGAGAAGCUUGCUUCUCUGAUGUUAGCGGCGGACGGGUGAGUAACACGUGGAUAACCUACCUAAAAGACUGGGAUAACUUCGGGAAACCGGAGCUAAUACCGGAUGAUAUUUUGAACCGCAUGGUUCAAAAGUGAAAGACGGUCUUGCUGUCACUUAUAGAUGGAUCCGCGCUGCAUUAGCUAGUUGGUAAGGUAACGGCUUACCAAGGCAACGAUGCAUAGCCGACCUGAGAGGGUGAUCGGCCACACUGGAACUGAGACACGGUCCAGACUCCUACGGGAGGCAGCAGUAGGGAAUCUUCCGCAAUGGGCGAAAGCCUGACGGAGCAACGCCGCGUGAGUGAUGAAGGUCUUCGGAUCGUAAAACUCUGUUAUUAGGGAAGAACAUAUGUGUAAGUAACUGUGCACAUCUUGACGGUACCUAAUCAGAAAGCCACGGCUAACUACGUG
RNAcentral lists this ribosomal RNA (497 nucleotides) under uncultured bacterium. Its description in RNAcentral is "partial 16S ribosomal RNA". It matches the Rfam family "Bacterial small subunit ribosomal RNA", at positions 28 to 507 of the family's 1533-position model. The record is from RNAcentral.